AACUUUCGACAACGGAUCACUUGGUUCUGGCAUCGAUGAAGAACGCAGCGAAAUGCGACAAGUAAUGUGAAUUGCAGAAUUCAGUGAAUCAUCGAAUCUUUGAACGCACAUUGCGCCCCUUGGUAUUCCGAGGGGCAUGCCUGUUCGAGCGUCAUUACAACCCUCAAGCAAUGCUUGGUAUUGGGCCUCGCCGGUCACCCGGCGGGCUCUAAAAUCAGUGGCGGUGCCGUCGGGCUCUGAGCGUAGUAAUUCUUCUCGCUAUAGAGUCCCGGUGGAUGCUGGCCAACAACCCCCAAUUUUCUAUGGUUGACCUCGGAUCAGGUAGGGAUACCCGCUGAACUUAAGCAUAUCAAUAAGCGGAGGCU
Molecule: unclassified non-coding RNA, 365 nt
Filed under: uncultured Leptodontidium
Lineage: Eukaryota; Fungi; Ascomycota
Description: sequence contains ITS2
Rfam family: 5.8S ribosomal RNA (bases 1-154)
Source: RNAcentral